This 71-nucleotide transfer RNA is filed under the name Desmognathus ochrophaeus (Allegheny mountain salamander). Its description in RNAcentral is "tRNA-Ile". It matches the Rfam family "tRNA". Rfam says of the family: Transfer RNA (tRNA) molecules are approximately 80 nucleotides in length. Their secondary structure includes four short double-helical elements and three loops (D, anti-codon, and T loops). The record is from RNAcentral. Lineage: Eukaryota; Metazoa; Chordata; Amphibia; Caudata; Plethodontidae.
GGAAAUAUGCCCGAAAAUUAAGGGUCACUUUGAUAGAGUGAACAAUAGGGGCUCAAAUCCCCCUUAUUUCC